This 274-nucleotide ribosomal RNA is filed under the name uncultured bacterium. RNAcentral's name for it is "partial 16S ribosomal RNA". It matches the Rfam family "Bacterial small subunit ribosomal RNA", at positions 523 to 796 of the family's 1533-position model. The record is from RNAcentral.
AUACGGGGGGUGCAAGCGUUGUCCGGAAUCAUUGGGCGUAAAGGGUUCGUAGGUGGAAUUAUAAGUCUGGUGUGAAAGCCCACAGCUCAACUGUGGAACUGCACUGGAUACUGUUUUUCUUGAGUUAUAGAGGGGUUUGUGGAAUUUCUGGUGUAGAGGUGAAAUUUGUAGAGAUCAGAAAGAACACCGGUGGCGAAGGCGACAAACUGGCUAUUAACUGACACUGAGGAACGAAAGCGUGGGGAGCGAACAGGAUUAGAAACCCUAGUAGUCC